GACGAACGCUGGCGGCGUGCUUAACACAUGCAAGUCGAACGGAAAGGCCCUGCUUGCAGGGUACUCGAGUGGCGAACAGGGGAGUAACACGUGGGUGAUAUGCCCUGCACUUCGUGGUAAGCCUUGGGGACUGGGUCUCAUACCGGAUAGGGGCCCUUUUUAGUGUGGUGGUUGGAAGGUUUUUUCGGUGUGGGGUGGACGCGCGGCCUGUCAGCUAGUUGGUGGGGUAGGGGCUGACUAAGCAGGGCAUGGGCGGCUGGCCGGCGGGGGUGACGGGCCCAAUGGGGACGGAGAUACGGCCAGGACUCCUCCGGGAGCAGCAGUGGGGAAUAUUGCACAAUGGGGGGAAGGCUGAUGCAGCGACGCCGCGUGGGGGAUGACGGCCUUCGGGUUGGAAACCCCUUUCGCCAGGGGCGAAGCUGUGUGUGACGGUACCUAGAUAAGAAGCACCGGCUAACUACGUG
This 464-nucleotide ribosomal RNA is filed under the name uncultured bacterium. Its description in RNAcentral is "partial 16S ribosomal RNA". It matches the Rfam family "Bacterial small subunit ribosomal RNA", at positions 28 to 507 of the family's 1533-position model. The record is from RNAcentral.